Molecule: long non-coding RNA, 7327 nt
Filed under: Gossypium barbadense (sea-island cotton)
Lineage: Eukaryota; Viridiplantae; Streptophyta; Magnoliopsida; Malvales; Malvaceae
Description: long non-coding RNA (GBAR_LNC004324)
Source: RNAcentral
AGUGGAAGAAUUGGAACUGGGUAUCACAAGGUGACCACUUCGAGAAUGGUGCCUUUUUUACUCCAUCCGGUAGUCCGAGUGCUAGCAAGCAAUUUGGUGCUGACAAAAUGAUGCCUUUCAAACCUGGUCAAAUGGUCCCUGAACUCACAAAGUAUGCCGGACCACUUAGCUGCACAAUCAGCCGUCCUUGCUAAAACUACUAUUUUUAUGUGGAUAUGUCCCCCCUUUUUUACGUACAACAUUUGAUACCCAAGCAUAGUACAUUUGGGAUUUUUUGUGAAUAAUUCUCAGUAAAUUUUCUUUUAUAAGAUUCAACGUUAUUCUUUUCUUCUCUCCUACUAAUAGAUAAUUAUAAUUUUUUUCUCACGCGUAACUGUGGAAAUCAUAAAUUUAGAUCAUAAAUGUGUGUUUGAAAAUAAAAUAUAACAAAUAAUGAAAUGUGUGGUUUGAAACAAAUUAACAAUAAUAACACUGAUUAUGAUGGUGUCGUCAUCAAUCUUAAUUUGGUGUGGACACCAACUUAAUCAAAUACACAAAUCUAACGUAUCUAAUAUAUAUUCUAUUACAAGGUUUUGUUGGAUUUGGGAAAUUCUUUAGUUUUAAUAGAGUUUAGAAUUUUCCAUGUGUCACCAAUCAUUUCAUGGCAAGUAUGGAAAUUAAUGAAAUUAAAUAUUUGGUUAGAAUUCAAGUUGUGUAAUUAUCUAAAAAUUUUAACAAUCUUGAGACCAUUUAGUGUCUAUAAUGUUUUUAUGUCCCAACUUUCAUAUUCGUGUACUCGGCCAUUUUCAAAACACAUCAAAUCGAGAAAAGAAAGAAAUAAAAAUCAUGAGUGUUCUUCAUAUAGUAAUAUUCUUAUUUAUGCAAGGGCAAUGGCGAUUCCUACCGAUGUUCUUGCAUCACAAUGAACUAAAUUGAUUUUUUACUACAACAUUUAAGAUUGAGAUAUCAAAAAUACAUUUAAGGUGGUGUAUGAGUUUGAUUUAUUUAAGGCUCAGCGUAGGUCGGGGAUGUAACAGCCUGAUUUAGACCCUAAUUGGAAUGGUGGUUUUGGGACCAUGAAUCUAAGUCAAAAAAAUAUUUUAAAAUUAUUUUCUGUGUUUAUUUUGUGUGAAUUUAUAUCUGUGAAAUUUUUGUGAUUUAAUUUUAUUGUUUAGGUGUCCGAUUAAAUAAAAGGGCUUAAUCGCAUAAAAUUAAAAUUUGGUGGUUAUUUCUAAAGUGGACUUAUUUGUUAAUGGCUUUUUAAGUGAGAACCUUUAUGUGGUAAAUAGCCCACUUUCAUGUUAGUUGGACGAUAAUGGACAUAUGUUAUAUAAUUCCAUUAUUAUUUCAUUAAGGUUAAAAUAGGAAAUGAAAUAAAAUGUUAUAAUAUACCAUAUUAUAACAUAAUAAGAAAACCAUAUUCAUCAUUUUUAUUUCCUAAUUGCUGAAACAAAAGAGAAGAACAACAAGCUACGGUUGGACCAUCUAUUUAGCUCAAUCAAGGUUUGUUUUUUGUUCGAUUUUUGAUAAUUUCUACGUUUUUGAGAUCGUUGCUUUGAGUUCUACAAAACCCAUGCUUGAAUUUUUUAUUUUGAUGAAUAUUUUGAGUUGUGCCAUUGUUGAUAGCUUGUGAUUUUUGUUGUUUGAUGAUGAAAAAUGAAAGAUAUGUUUUAGAUUAACAUGUUUUGUAUGGGAGUUUUUGAUGAUUUUGAGUAAUUAGGACUUAAUUGCAAAAAUAAUAAUUUGAGGGACUAAAAUGUGAAAUUAAUGAAAUAUAUGGACUUGUAUGGUAAUGGGUAAGAUUCGGCCGAACAUGGGUAUAGGAAAAUUUUGCAUAUUUUGUGUUUUGUGCAAUAGGGACUAAAUUGUAAAAUAUGUAAAUGUCACGGGUAAAAUGGUAAUUUUCCCAUUUAUGUGUUUUUGGACUAAAUUGAAUGAAAAUAUGUUUAAAUUAACUUAAUUUGAAUAUGUUUAGAUCAAGAACCAAAGAAAUCGGAUUUGGAUCGGGGAAAAACGAAAGUUGUCGACCAGUCGAUCCGUACUGAUUUUUUGUUGUCUGAGGUAAGUUUAUAAGCAAAUAGACAUACUUAAUUUUAAUUAAAUGUAAAGUAUAGAUUCUGAAUUGAAAUAUAUGAUAUUAUAAAUGCAAUUUUUGAAUAUUUAUAAGCUUGGUAAUCAUGUACGAGCAUUCGUUCCGAUCGAGUUACAACAUACGGAAGCCCCGUAUGAACCUUAGGAAUAGCUAGGAUAAAUAUGUCAUGACAUAGGAUUCUGAUAUAUGUGUGCGAGUAGGACCAUGGCAUCGAUAUGUGAUUCCGAUAUGUGUUUACGAGUAAGACCCUGUUUGGGACAGGGGCAUCUAUAUGUGGCUACAUGUAAGACCACGUCUGAGACGUAGGCAUUGUACGAUUUAUGUGAUUAUCCGAGUGUCCUAUCCAAUUCCGAAUGGUUCAUCGGGAAAAGGUAAAUCGUGUACGGAUGUGUAAAAAUGAACUAAAUGGUCAGGUAUGAAUUAGCUUGUUGGUUACUAGUAAAAGAGUAAGUAUAUAGCUCGAUAUUUGCUACAAGUCAUGUAUUAUGCAUAUGUUGAAUCAAUGGGAAAUUGCUAUGUGUAUUCGGCCUUAUGACUAAGUGAAUUGAAUAUUAUUGAAAUGAUGCCUAACUAUGUGUAUUCGGCCUUAUGACUAAGUGAAUUGAAUAUUAUUGAAAUGAUGCCUAACUAUGUGCACAUACGAGACGAUGUAUAUUCGGUCACAUAUCAAGCUUAGGUAUAAAAAGUUUGUUGUGAUAUAUCAGUCCAAAUAUUGGAGGUUAUGUGAAUUAGGUUUUUACAAUGUUUAUUGACUUGGAAAAUUAAAUGUUAAAAUGCUAAUUUGACCACAUGGAUAUUCUGCUAAAGUGAUUUCUUUUAUGUAUGAAAAUAUAUUAAUAAUGAAAUUCAUAUGUUUGUGAUUGAAUAUGGUAGUAUUGAUAUAAUUUGAUUUAGUUUAGUUGAAUAGUUAAUAUUAUUAAAUUGUUUAUUUGCUUAUGACUUACUAAGCUGUGGUAGCUUACUCUGUGUAUUAUGUUACUCUAUUUUAUAGAUUUUGAAGUUAAGCUACAAGCUCGGGGACUGUCAACCAAGCUCAUCACACCAUCUACUAUUUUGGUAUCUUAUUAGCUAAACUUAAAUUAUGGCAUGUAUAGGCUGGAACAUAUAUUUUUGAAGUUUUGAUUUUGGUUAUGUAUUAAAAGCCAUGCGAAAAUGGCUUGUUAUUUAUGUUUAGAUUUGAUUUUAUGUGUGCUUAGUUAUAAUGUUCAUGAUCUUGGUUUGAUAUAUGCGAUUAUGCUUGAUUAUGGUUUGAUUUGUGGUAAGUAGUUUGUGUAAUGAAAAUGGCUUUAUUUUUAGGCUUGAAUUCGGUUUGGGUUGAAUUAUUGCUUAAGUCUUUUUGAUAAAAAAGCUAUAUGUUAUGGUUGUUUAAAAUCUUUGUGUUAUUUUGAAAGUAUAUUUGAGUAUAUACAGCUUGCAAAGGUAUUUUGUGGUUCGGCCAUAUGUUUAUAAUGGAUGUUAAUUAUGCUAGGAUUGCCAUGUGUUUGUUAAGUAAAAAUUAUGUCAUAUGCUGGCAAUAAAUUGAUGACCAUUAUAAUUUAUACUAGAACAUGUGUAUAUGUGAUAUUCAGCCACAUUGAUUUAGUUGAAACUUUAUUUAUACUUUACUUGUGUAUAAGGUGAUUAUAUUAUGGAUGAUAUGUAUAUAUGUAAAAAUGCGUGUGGUUGUAUUUUUAAACUUGCAAGUUGCUUAUAAGUUUGCAAAUAGAUACAAAUGAUCGAUGAUAGCUGAAUAGACUAGAUUAAUGAGGAGUUGGUGAUGAUAAGAAUAGGUGUGCUUAAAUAUUCAACCAUGACAUGUUGAUGAGCUUUUAUAUGACGUUAUAUGUAUAUAUACUUGGUAUAUUAGUUAGUUAAUAAUGGAAAAAUGUAAUGUGAUAAAUAAAGUGAUGGCUAAAUGUAUGCCAGCUUAAAUUAUUUGGUUGUCAAAUAGUAGGUGUAGCAUGUAUUGCAUGAACAUAUUGGUCAGUUGCAUAAUAUGUAAUUAAUGCUAUGUGUAGUUUUUAUUUUCAGGGUAAAAUGCACACCAUGUAUAUAUGCAUUAAUAGCAUAUUUGGCCAAGUUAUAAUGUAUUCGAUAUGUAUGCGUGAUUGCAUAUUAAAUUAUGUAAUAUGUUACAAUUGGUUUGUUAUAAGCCUAAACAGGGGUAGUUAUACAUGCUUAAAUGUCAGGUUGAAAAUAUAGUGAAUUUCACAUGUUUUGAUAUUGAGUUGUCAUUAUGUCUAAAAAUUAGUAAGUUGAGUUGGUGAAACAUGUUUCAUCUGUUAUAUGCUAGUUAUUUAUUAAACCAUUAAAUAAUUACAUAUUUUCGAAUGGAUGUAAAUAAAUAUAUAUAUUAAAGUCUAAUAUACGGUUAAUGAUGUGACAUAUGUUAUGUAUAUGCAUAAAGUGUAAAUUCAAACUAUAAAGUGAAAUGCUUAUUUGUGCGAGCUAUGAUAUGAUCGGUAAUGUAUCGUAGCCUAAUCCGGUGAUGGGUACUGGCUAAGGGUGUUACAAGGGAUCCAUCCAAGACCCCUAAUACUGUUAAAAAAUUUGUUUAAAGAAGUUCAUUUGAUAGGUUUAAGCUCCCACAAUUUACGUUUCUUUUACAAGUAUAGAUUCAAAUACUGAAGCAAAAAAAACUUGCAAAGUCGAGAGUACAUAGGAUUAAUCAUUAGUCAUCUAUGUUUUGAGUUGAUCCUUAGCUGACGCAUGGCAUCAACGUAGUCAAAGGCUUAAAUAAUUGUAUAGAUAUUUAUAAUUGAUGGAGGUAAUAAAGCAUGCGUCACAAAAUUGAAAUUCAUAAAAGAAAAUAAAUGUUUUGGUAGAGUGUUAAAUUUAAGGUUUUACUAACAUAAUAAUUGAUGUGGGUUCAAAUCCCUUCGAAAGCAUAUUUUAUAUAUUUUUAGAAUAAUAAAGAGUAAAAUAGCCUUGAAUAGUAUAACUUAUUUUAACUACGAAAAAAAAGUAUUUCUGAUUUCUGUAAUAGAGUUGGUGCUUGAUCGACUUGUGUCAUCGAAUUAGUUAAGGACUUCAUUAAAAGUUAGUAUAGAUUGGAACGACAUUAAAAUAUGCAUUAAAAAUUACCACAAAGGUUCAAUUUUGCCUCGAAUCUCUAUACUCUUUUAGACUUUUAAAAUUUCAUCCUUCUAUUUUUAAAAUUACAUGAAUUUACUGCUUUACGUAUUCAAUUCAAUAUAAUGUUUAAAAAAAAAUCUAAUCGAUAACACUACUAACAAAAUUUGUUAAAUUUGAAUACUUAGUACUUUUAUAUUCAAAGGUCCAAUUAAAAAAUUAGAGUCUAAUUCAUAUCACAUAUUCAUAUUUAAGAGAAAUCAAUAAACUCUCUUACCAACUGAACUUUUAUUUUUUAAGUCAGCCAGUGGAAGGACAAAAAUCUUGGAAUUGAAAGCGAAGAGCUUUCAUCUCAAAAUGUUGAAGAGUAGAGGGAUUGGAGAAGAAUUAAAGAUUUUUUUUUUGUAAUUUUUGAAAUUAGACGUUCAGAAUGUCAUAAAAAAUGCAAGAAAAAGCUCAACUAUUUCUAUCCAAAAAAAAAAGAAAAGAAAAUCCAAACGUUUUUUACGCACUCGAAACACUAAUAGCCAAGUGUGUUCUAUAAAUUUGGUAAUUUUAAUGAAUCCCAGUGUAGUAUAAAUAGUGACAUGACGAUGGUGUUACAAGCAAAUGAAGCUCGAGUUCCACUUUUUGGUGCCGCAACUUGUCUCUCCUAUCCUAUCAGGGUCCUAUUUUCAUCCAACAAGUUGUUUCCAACAGCUAGGCUUUGAUAGUUAAAAUAACAACCACUAUGGGUAUUUUUAGUUAUAGUUAUAGUUUCUUUCUCUUGUUAUUUGUUGUCACAAUACCAAACCUAGAAGCUCACAUCGCUGAAUAUGAUGAGUACUGAAAGGCACGAGAAUUGAAAGCCAUUGAGAACCUCAACAAGGCCUAUCACCCCAACCCGGAGGAGGUGGUCCGCCAUUACAAUGACCAUUUCUCUAGGACCAUGCUCUAGUUUUAUAUCACCAAAAGGGUGCUAGCAGAAUCAAAAAAAGGUCCCUGUGAGGUUACCAACCCCGUUGAUAGUUGCUGGCGAUGUGAUCCUAACUAGGAAAAGAACAGGAAGAAGCUGGCCAACUGUACCCCUGGAUUUACUCGUGGUACUACCGGUGGAAAGGGUGGUGAGUUUUACGUGGUCAUUGACCCUAUUGAUAAUGCUGCUGACCCCAAGCCUGGAACUCUGCGUCAUGCUGUCACCCAAACCGGACCACUUUGGAUCACUUUCAAAGGGUCCAUGACCAUCAAGCUGGAACAAGAACUCAUUGUUACAAGUGACAAGACCAUUGAUGCGAGGGGAGCCAAUGUGGAAAUUUGCAAUGGUGCUGGUAUUACUAUCCAAUUUGCGAAGAAUGUCAUUAUCCAUGGCCUUCAUAUCCAUCACAUUAUUCCCGCCCAGGGUGGCAAGAUCAAGGAUGGUGAAAACCACGUUGGGUUACGGAGUGCCAGCGAUGGAGAUGGUGUCUCUCUUUUCGGAGCAACCAACAUUUGGCUCGACCAUCUUUCCCUUCACCAUUGCGUCGAUGGUCUUAUCGAUGUCAUUCAAGGUUGCACUGCCGUUACCAUUUCUAAUUGCCACUUCACUGACCACAACGAUGUAAUCUUACUUUUCUUUCUAUUUUAAACUAAGCACGAGGAGGAAUUUUGUUAUUGACAAAAUAGUUUAAUUGAAAUGAAAAAAAUUACAGGUGAUGUUGUUCGGAGCAAGCGACUCAUAUAGUGCCGACGAGAAGAUGCAGGUCACUGUUGCUUUGAACCACUUCGGUAAAGGAUUGGUAGAGAGGAUGCCUAGGUGCCGAUUUGGUUUUAUUCAUGUCGUCAACAAUGACUACAAUCACUGGUUCCUGUAUGCCAUUGGCGACACCAGCCACCCUACAAUUAUCAGCCAGGGAAACAGGUACUCCGCGCCAGGUACCUUCACAGCUAAGGAGGUGACCUGUAGGGGCCUCUUAAAACCGGCACAGUGGAAGAAUUGGAACUGGGUAUCACAGGGUGACCACUUCGAGAACGGUGCCUUUUUUACUCCAUCCGGUAGUCCGAGUGCCAGCAAGCAAUUUGGUGCCGACAAAAUGAUGCCUUUCAAACCUGGUCAAAUGGUCCCUGAACUCACAAAGUAUGCCGGACCACUCAGCUGCACAAUCGGCCGUCCUUGCUAAAAACACUAUUUUUAUAUGCAUGUGUCCUCCCUUUUUUACGUACAACAUUUGAUACCCAAGCAUAGUACAU